Molecule: ribosomal RNA, 206 nt
Filed under: uncultured bacterium
Lineage: Bacteria
Description: partial 16S ribosomal RNA
Rfam family: Bacterial small subunit ribosomal RNA
Source: RNAcentral
CGUGUAGGCGGCCGUGUAGGUCUGACGUGAAAUCUGGAGGCUCAACCUCCAGCUGUCGUUGGAAACCGCGCGGCUAGAGUCCGGAAGAGGAGAGUGGAAUUCCUGGUGUAGCGGUGAAAUGCGCAGAUAUCAGGAAGAACACCUAUGGCGAAGGCAGCUCUCUGGGACGGUACUGACGCUGAGACGCGAAAGCGUGGGAGCGAACA